UACGGAGGGUGCGAGCGUUAUCCGGAAUCACUGGGUUUAAAGGGUGCGUAGGCGGCUCGGUAAGUCCGUUGUGAAAGCCCCUUGCUUAACGAGGGAGGUGCGAUUGAUACUGUCGAGCUUGAAUCGGGAUGAGGCAGGCGGAAGGUGGCAUGUAGCGGUGAAAUGCAAAGAUAUGCCAUAGAACACCGAUUGCGAAGGCAGCCUGCUGGGCCUGUAUUGACGCUGAGGCACGAAAGCGUGGGGAGCAAACAGG
RNAcentral lists this ribosomal RNA (253 nucleotides) under uncultured bacterium. RNAcentral's name for it is "partial 16S ribosomal RNA". It matches the Rfam family "Bacterial small subunit ribosomal RNA", at positions 524 to 776 of the family's 1533-position model. The record is from RNAcentral.